Molecule: transfer RNA, 98 nt
Rfam family: tRNA
About the family: Transfer RNA (tRNA) molecules are approximately 80 nucleotides in length. Their secondary structure includes four short double-helical elements and three loops (D, anti-codon, and T loops). Further hydrogen bonds mediate the characteristic L-shaped molecular structure. tRNAs have two regions of fundamental functional importance: the anti-codon, which is responsible for specific mRNA codon recognition, and the 3' end, to which the tRNAs corresponding amino acid is attached (by aminoacyl-tRNA synthetases). tRNAs cope with the degeneracy of the genetic code in two manners: having more than one tRNA (with a specific anti-codon) for a particular amino acid; and 'wobble' base-pairing, i.e. permitting non-standard base-pairing at the 3rd anti-codon position.
Source: Rfam
GUCUUCGUGGCGCAAUUGGCUAGCGCGUCUGACUGUUAUACCACAUCCGUGGAUGGCAAGUCAUCAGGAGGUUCCUGGUUCGAGCCCAGGCGAGGACG